CGUCUCCCAAACAGUACGAUUCUCGGCUUCGUCCUAUGCACUGCGCCGGCGCCUCCAUGACGGACAAUGACGGGAAAUGCUUCAGGCCUGAAUGCCGCACACAUUCCUGUGAAUCAUGAUAGUUCUCAGGCCUCCCGCAGCUGCGGCGAUCCGACCAGUGAACAAGUCGACUUGGCUUCGACUCAUUCUGGGGACGAAACGGUUCUUGCAACAGACCCUUUAGGGGAUGCAUUUGACGAGCCGAUUUCAUUCAAGCGCAAGCAAAAAAGUCCCGCCCGAUUCGCUCUCUCGAGCUUCUUCUCCUCCACCGAAGGAACCUCUCAUCCCCCUUUACACAAUCCUUUUGGAAACAAUAACGGCGCAUCCACAAAUCGCACUCCACCACCCGCGGCGGCGACGACUGGCAAUGGAGGACUAGAGGGGAAUAAAGCUGGCGGGCCACUUGACUGGUACGUCGAGGGCCCCGGCCGACGAGUGGGCUACGACAACUUAACGGCUAUCGAUUGGAUCUUCGAGUAUACAAAGGAGCGCCAGCGGAUCAGGCAUCUUUAUGCCAGCAACAAAGGUCUCUUUGGCUACGUUCGCAAAGUUCUAGAUGCUAGCCAUAUCUGGAUUAUCUUGAUAUUAACGGGGAUAGCUGUUGGCGUAAUAGCAGCGUGCAUAGACGUCGCAAGCAGUUGGCUUGGAGAUAUCAAAACUGGCUACUGUCGCACUGGUGGCGAAGGAGGGAAGUUCUAUUUGAAUAAGAGCUUUUGCUGCUGGGGCUAUGAUGAUUUAUCCGAGUGUCAGCAUUGGACACCGUGGCGUAAUGCUCUACAUGUUGGAUCUAAAACUGCCGGGUAUGCGGUGGAAUAUGUAUUCUUCAUCAUGUAUUCUAUUCUUUUCGCAACAACCGCAAGUGUGCUCGUUAGAAAGUUUGCGGUACACGCCAAGCAUAGUGGUAUCCCGGAGAUAAAAACUGUCCUCGGCGGUUUCGUAAUCAAGCGGUUUAUGGGCGCUUGGACGCUACUGAUCAAAUCUCUCGGUCUUUGUCUUUCUGCCGCGUCGGGAUUAUGGCUCGGAAAAGAAGGCCCGUUAGUCCAUGUGGCUUGCUGCUGCGCAAGUUUAAUUAUGAGGCCCUUCCCCAGUCUAAAUCGUAAUGAGGCAAGAAAGCGUGAGGUUCUCUCGGCAGCCUCUGCGGCUGGCAUUUCUGUUGCAUUCGGAUCUCCGAUUGGAGGUGUAUUGUUCAGCUUAGAGCAAUUAUCAUACUAUUUCCCAGAUAAAACGAUGUGGCAAAGCUUCGUAUGCGCCAUGGUUGCAGCAGUGACAUUGCACGCGCUCAACCCCUUUCGAACCGGCAAAAUUGUUCUCUACCAAGUUACAUACAGUCGUGGGUGGCAUCAAUUUGAACUGCUUCCGUUUGCUGUGCUCGGCAUAAUUGGUGGAUUGUAUGGCGGUCUGUUCAUUAAACUCAACAUGAGAGUCGCCAAAUGGCGAGAAGCGAGGAACUACUCACACCCGAUCUUACAAGUGGCCCUUGUUGCACUCAUCAGCGCCCUUAUUAACUUCCCAAAUACAUUCAUGCGGGCUCAAUUAUCUGACCUUGUAUAUUACCUCUUUGCGGAGUGCGCGGAAGUUACAGAUGAUCAGUUCGGGCUUUGCAAAACGGGAUCUGCAUCUUUGGGCGUUAUUGGUCUUCUGCUCCUUGCUGCAAUUCUCGGCUUUUUCCUUGCCUCAAUCACAUUCGGCCUAGAUCUCCCGGCGGGCAUCAUCCUCCCGUCGUUGGCGAUGGGGGCACUCUCCGGUAGAGCUCUUGGCAUUGCAUUUGAAAUGUGGCAGAAGGCUCAACCAGAUUUACUGCUCUUCCGUAAAUGCGAGGCCGACAUUCCAUGCAUUACUCCCGGCACGUAUGCUAUAGUCGGUGCUGCUUCUGCACUCGGAGGGGCAACUAGAAUGACGGUGUCGAUAGUGGUCAUCAUGUUUGAACUUACCGGUGCUCUCACUUACGUCAUCCCCAUUAUGAUUUCUGUGAUGCUCUCCAAGUGGUGUGGAGAUACUUUUGGGAAACGUGGUAUUUACGAAUCAUGGAUCCACCUUCAUGGGUAUCCCUUCAUUGAGCAAAAGGAUGAGGUUGUCCUACCCGAUGUCCCAGUGAGCCAAGUCAUGACCAGUAUUCAUGACCUUUCAGUUAUCACUGCUGUCGGCCACACAAUCGAUUCCCUCCUGCAUCUCCUCGACACAACCAGCUAUCGAGGUUUCCCCGUCGUCUCCGAUACAUCUAACCCUAUCUUACUGGGCUACAUAUCCCGUAACGAACUUAGCUUCGCCCUUAAAUCGGCUACCUCUCGAAGCUCCCGAGGCGUAUCUCCGGAAACCCCUGCAUAUUUCGCUCAUCAGCCCUUUGCCGAUCCACUAGAGAUCCUGGAUCUUCGCCCUUGGAUGGACCAGACACCCAUCACACUCAACAGCCGCGCCAGCUUCCUAGUCGUCUUGACUAUGUUCCAACGAUUAGGCCUUCGAUACGUACUAUUUGUGAACAAAGGUGCUCUCCAAGGGUUCCUGACAAAAAAAGACGUCUGGUAUAUUAUUGAAGAUGCGCAGAAACGGAGGGCGGAGGGCUUAAGAGACAAUGAAAUUGGAGAAGGAAACACCGAGGAUGAGGGAAGGUUUCGACGAAAUGAUGAUAACGACCACCACAAUAUAAGCACGUUCAGUCCGCUUGAUACUAGACAUUCGUUAUAAUGGUUUGUUUUGAUACGGAAGUUUUGGGCUUUUGAAAGGUCUCUUCAGGACUCUUGACUUUUUCUUUGGUUUUCUUGUAUAAUACCGUCCACAUUUGGUUUUUUUUUUUUGGUGUAAGGAGUAAUCGUGUUUCUUGUGAAGAUGUGUAAUGAUUUAGACCAUAGAUA
This 2888-nucleotide small RNA is filed under the name Histoplasma capsulatum var. duboisii H88. RNAcentral describes it as "Histoplasma capsulatum H88 hypothetical RNA". The record is from RNAcentral. Lineage: Eukaryota; Fungi; Ascomycota; Eurotiomycetes; Onygenales; Ajellomycetaceae.